GUAGCCUCUUGUGAUGAAGCCAGGCAGCCCAUGAAAGUUACUGUGCAUGGCCCAGCAUCUCCUCCUCCACUACCUUCUGGAAUUUGCAGGAACAUGCAAUGGAAGCAUCUACUUUGCUCUUCACCUCUCUCUAAUGGCUCCUGCAGAUGAACCUUCCUUUUAAGUCCUUUCCACAGCAGAGAACAAGUUCUCAAAGAUAACAAAGACGACUAUGGCAUGCUUUUCCCGGAGCCACCUUGUGGGAAUUCCUGGUAGUCCCUGUUUUUCCGAGAAGCCAAACAGAAGCUACUGCCACCACUCUUGGCGAAGCGUCUUCUUGGGAAAAAGCCAAAAUUUUCAACAACGGGAAAUGGUGAAGUUGGGAGUGAGAACAAGGCCCAUGAUAGUGAUCAGGUGCGAGAAAGUGGUGGGGAUCGACUUGGGAACGACGAAUUCUGCGGUAGCGGCGAACGAGGGUGGGAAACCAGUUAUAGUGACGAACUCGGAAGGGCAAAGAACGACGCCGUCGGUGGUGGCGUUUACAAAGAGGGGGGAUAGGCUGGUUGGGCAAAUAGCAAAGAGGCAAGCCAUAAUGAACCCAGAGAACACUUAUUUCUCUGUGAAGAGGUUCAUUGGGAGGAAGUACGAGGAGGUGCAGGAAGAGGCUAAGCAGGUCUCCUAUAAGGUGGUCAGGGAUAAGAAUGGGAAUGUCAAGCUCGACUGCCCUGCCGUCGGGAAGCAAUUCUCGCCGGAGGAAAUCUCCGCUCUUGUAUAAUUAUCAGUUUUGCUUGUUGUUUUUAGUUUUGGCAUUUAAAAAUAAGCUUCAUCAAUCCGUAAGUUCUGAUGCUAAAUUGAUCAGGUUUAAAAUUCUUGAAAAAAUUGAAAAAAUAUAUAUAUAUUAAAAAGUUGAAGAAAUUUUUGCUAUUAGGAGUAAAUAUGAUAUAUAAUGAGCUUGAACUUCAACUUGAUUGAAUAUUAUAGUGAAACAGGUUCUGAGAAAGCUAGGAGAAGAUGCAUCAAAGUUCUUAAAUGACAAAGUAUGUAAAGCUGUGAUUACAGUUCCAGCUUAUUUCAAUGAUUCCCAACGGACGGCGACAAAGGAUGCUGCUUAUAUUGCUGGUUUAGAAGCUCUUCGGAUCAUCAAUGAACCUACUGCUGCAGCUUUGGCUUAUGGCUUUGAGAAGAAGAAUAAUGAAACCAUUUUAGUAUUUGACCUUGGUGGUGG
Molecule: unclassified non-coding RNA, 1204 nt
Filed under: Hevea brasiliensis (rubber tree)
Lineage: Eukaryota; Viridiplantae; Streptophyta; Magnoliopsida; Malpighiales; Euphorbiaceae
Source: RNAcentral